AGAGUUUGAUCCUGGCUCAGAGCGAACGCUGGCGGCAUGCUUAACACAUGCAAGUCGCACGGGCGGUGGCAACACUGUCAGUGGCGGACGGGUGAGUAAUGCGUAGGUAUCUAUCGUUGGGUGGGGGACAACCGCGGGAAACUGCGGCUAAUACCGCAUGAUGACUAUGGUCCAAAGGCCUUCGGGUCGCCUGACGAGGA
Molecule: ribosomal RNA, 200 nt
Filed under: uncultured bacterium
Lineage: Bacteria
Description: partial 16S ribosomal RNA
Rfam family: Bacterial small subunit ribosomal RNA
Source: RNAcentral